RNAcentral lists this RNase P RNA (429 nucleotides) under Patescibacteria group bacterium. Its description in RNAcentral is "RNase P RNA component class A". It matches the Rfam family "Bacterial RNase P class A". Rfam says of the family: Ribonuclease P (RNase P) is a ubiquitous endoribonuclease, found in archaea, bacteria and eukarya as well as chloroplasts and mitochondria. Its best characterised activity is the generation of mature 5'-ends of tRNAs by cleaving the 5'-leader elements of precursor-tRNAs. The record is from RNAcentral.
CAAGUAAACAAGAUGAUCGCCUCGAUAUUCAUCGGGGAGGAAAGUCCGAACACCGUCCCGAUGACCAUCGGGACAGCAAGGCAGUCGCUAACGGCGACCGGGAGAAAGAUAGUUAGGAGUCCUGCAGACUUUUAGCUGGCUUGAAUCUUAGGGAAAGUGCCGCAGAGACAAUACUAGUCCCGAUCUGAUCCUGCCUACCGGCAGGCAGAUGGGAGCAAAGGUGAAAAGAAAUGGGAUGUUAGCAUGAUAGCUACCCAUUUGAUCUCAUGGUGACAUGGGAAUCUGGUAAACCCUGCCUGGUGCAAGACCAAAAUGUAGGUCGCUUGAUCCCAUUAGCAAUGAUGGGACCAGAUAGAUGAUCAUCGCCCCGUAUCACUCAAAUCCGAAAUGGUACGAGGUACUAAAUUCGGCUUAUUGUUUGCUUGAGCU